GGCGGCGGUGUCCUGGAGGGCCCGGAGGCGGCGGCUCCUCAUCCAGUAAAGCUAAACUCUUCUCCAGUGCAUCAUGAACGGGGAGGAAUGUCCGGGGUGCAAAUGGAACGUGUGUCACAUUUCAGAAGAAAUGAGGCGACGUUGCGGAGGUCCAGGCAGUUGGCCCGGUGGAGGUCCUGGAGGAGACGGUCCCGGCGGUGGAGGACGGCUGGGGGAUCCGGCGGUGGAGGUCCGAAGGCGGCUCGUGAUUAGACCAAGCAGCUCCUCAUCCAUGGAAGCAGGAUUGAAGGAGUCACUGGGGAUGAAGAUCACUGCUCAGGGGCUGACGACCACUCAUCUUUCCGGAGAAGCGUCCUCAUGGUGCAGGCGGUCAAACCUCCACCUCUUUGAAGAGACCAAGCAGCUUGAUGACUGACUGGUUCUUUAUACUCAAGACCUCGUCCCGGAGCAGAGGACGGACCUAAGGCCCGCAGCGCAGCCGACUAGAGACUCCAUGUGGAACCGGUUCAAUUAAGUUGACCUCUCCUUCAGGCGACUUAAAGGGAGACCAGAUGUGCGGCAGCUGGGUGUCAUGGUGCAGAGACCCAACGCUGUACUGAACUACACCAGUGUGUCCUACUCCCAUAAACCCUGAGGAUCCCUGGAUGGCUACACCAGCACAUUAAUCCACACCCAACAUCAACACACAGUGCACACUCUAUAGAGAUCGUAAG
Gadus macrocephalus (Pacific cod) is the source of this 713-nucleotide long non-coding RNA. RefSeq lists it as uncharacterized. The record is from RefSeq and is a predicted model, not a curated record. Lineage: Eukaryota; Metazoa; Chordata; Actinopteri; Gadiformes; Gadidae. The transcript has 5 exons.